GUUUGUACACACCGCCCGUCAAACCACGAAAGUUGGCAAUACCCCAAAAUGGUAGCCUAACUCGUUUAUUCGAGAGGGCGCUGUCUAAGG
RNAcentral lists this ribosomal RNA (90 nucleotides) under Alfalfa witches'-broom phytoplasma. RNAcentral describes it as "partial 16S ribosomal RNA". The record is from RNAcentral. Lineage: Bacteria; Bacillati; Mycoplasmatota; Mollicutes; Acholeplasmatales; Acholeplasmataceae.